This 356-nucleotide ribosomal RNA is filed under the name uncultured eukaryote. RNAcentral's name for it is "SSU rRNA". It matches the Rfam family "Eukaryotic small subunit ribosomal RNA", at positions 1326 to 1699 of the family's 1831-position model. The record is from RNAcentral.
CGAUAACGAACGAGACCUCGACCUGUUAAAUAGUUCAACAUAUCCUUGUGAUAUGCUUGUGACUUCUUAGAGGGACUAUCAGGAGAGUAUCCGAUGGAAGUUCGAGGCAAUAACAGGUCUGUGAUGCCCUUAGAUGUUCUGGGCCGCACGCGCGCUACACUGAUUCGUUCAUCGAGUUUACAGCCUUGACCGGAAGGUCUGGGUAAUCUUCUCAAAGCGAAUCGUGCUGGGGAUAGAUUAUUGUAAUUUUUAAUCUUCAACGAGGAAUUCCUAGUAAACGCAAGUCAUCAACUUGCAUUGAUUACGUCCCUGCCCUUUGUACACACCGCCCGUCGCUACUACCGAUUGAAUGGCUA